CUCCCUCAUGUCUUUUUUCUAUUCUAGAAUCCCAUUGCAUCCAGGUUAUCACAUUUCAUUUCGUUGUCAUGUCUUCUUAGGCUCCUCUAGGCUACAGCAGUUUCUCAGGCUUUUCUUGUUUUUGAUGAUUUUGAGUUUUGAGGAGUACUGAUUAGGGUUUUGUAGACUGUCUCUCACUUGGGAUUUUUUUUUUUCUUAUUAUUAGACUGGCGUGAUUGGUUUUGUGAGGAGGACCGCAAAGGUGUCGCUUUCAUGUAGAAUUGAAGCUAUAUGAAUACAGGAGCUGGCUGUGUGUCUGUUUCCUGUUUUUCUUUCAAGAAACAUUUUAAAGAAUCUACCACAUGCCAGGACCCUGAUGAUGGUAUUGGCUCUACAAGGUUGGCUCCAUACACCAAUAGACCUAAGCAUGACUAAACGAUAUCAUAAAUAUGAAGCCAGCAAUUGCUGAUUGUGUGGUCUUAGGUGAGUUACUUAACUUCUCUUCAGUUUUCCUUGUUUGGGAGUGGGUAUAACCUACCUUAUUGUAAAGAAAUAGGCUUGUAAAGUAUCCAUCAACAUUCCUAGCAGAGCACAGUAGGUACGUCAAAACGACAGAGA
Molecule: non-coding RNA, 597 nt
Organism: Macaca mulatta (Rhesus monkey)
Lineage: Eukaryota; Metazoa; Chordata; Mammalia; Primates; Cercopithecidae
Source: RefSeq, a predicted model, not a curated record